AUAGUGGCGAACGGGUGAGUAACGCGUAAGUAACCUACCUCUAAGUGGGGGAUAGCUUCGGGAAACUGAAGGUAAUACCGCAUGUGGUGGGCCGACAUAUGUUGGUUCACUAAAGCCGUAAGGCGCUUGGUGAGGGGCUUGCGUCCGAUUAGCUAGUUGGUGGGGUAAUGGCCUACCAAGGCUUCGAUCGGUAGCUGGUCUGAGAGGAUGAUCAGCCACACUGGGACUGAGACACGGCCCAGACUCCUACGGGAGGCAGCAGCAAGGAAUCUUGGGCAAUGGGCGAAAGCCUGACCCAGCAACGCCGCGUGAGGGAUGAAGGCUUUCGGGUUGUAAACCUCUUUUCAUAGGGAAGAAUAAUGACGGUACCUGUGGAAUAAGCUUCGGCUAACUACGUGCCAGCAGCCGCGGUAAUACGUAGGAAGCAAGCGUUAUCCGGAUUUAUUGGGCGUAAAGUGAGCGUAGGUGGUCUUUCAAGUUGGAUGUGAAAUUUCCCGGCUUAACCGGGACGAGUCAUUCAAUACUGUUGGACUAGAGUACAGCAGGAGAAAACGGAAUUCCCGGUGUAGUGGUAAAAUGCGUAGAUAUCGGGAGGAACACCAGAGGCGAAGGCGGUUUUCUAGGUUGUCACUGACACUGAGGCUCG
This 646-nucleotide ribosomal RNA is filed under the name uncultured Dehalococcoides sp. RNAcentral's name for it is "bacterial SSU rRNA". It matches the Rfam family "Bacterial small subunit ribosomal RNA", at positions 92 to 755 of the family's 1533-position model. The record is from RNAcentral. Lineage: Bacteria; Bacillati; Chloroflexota; Dehalococcoidia; Dehalococcoidales; Dehalococcoidaceae.